GAGGAAUAUUGGUCAAUGGGCGAGAGCCUGAACCAGCCAAGUAGCGUGCAGGAUGACGGCCCUAUGGGUUGUAAACUGCUUUUGUAUGGGGAUAAAGUCAAUCACGUGUGAUUGUUUGCAGGUACCAUACGAAUAAGGACCGGCUAAUUCCGUGCCAGCAGCCGCGGUAAUACGGAAGGUCCGGGCGUUAUCCGGAUUUAUUGGGUUUAAAGGGAGCGUAGGCUGGAGAUUAAGUGUGUUGUGAAAUGUAGACGCUCAACGUCUGACUUGCAGCGCAUACUGGUUUCCUUGAGUACGCACAACGUUGGCGGAAUUCGCCGUGUAGCGGUGAAAUGCUUAGAUAUGACGAAGAACUCCGAUUGCGAAGGCAGCUGACGGGAGCGCAACUGACGCUGAAGCUCGAAGGUGCGGGUAUCGAACAGGAUUAGAUACCCUGGUAGUCCGCACAGUAAACGAUGGAUGCCCGCUGUUGGUACUUGGUAUCAGCGGCUAAGCGAAAGCAUUAAGCAUCCCACCUGGGGAGUACGCCGGCAACGGUG
RNAcentral lists this ribosomal RNA (539 nucleotides) under uncultured bacterium. RNAcentral describes it as "bacterial SSU rRNA". It matches the Rfam family "Bacterial small subunit ribosomal RNA", at positions 356 to 896 of the family's 1533-position model. The record is from RNAcentral.